GACGAACGACUGGCGGCGUGCUUAACAACAUGCAAGUCGAGCGGGUAAGGCCCUUUCGGGGGUACACGAGCGGCGAACGGGUGAGUAACACGUGGGUGACCUGCCCUCAGCUCUGGGAUAAGCCUGGGAAACCGGGUCUAAUACUGGAUAUGACUCCAUGACGCAUGUUGUGGGGUGGAAAGCCUUGUGCGGCUGAGGAUGGGCCCGCGGCCUAUCAGCUUGUUGGUGGGGUGANGGCCUACCAAGGCGACGACGGGUAGCCGGCCUGAGAGGGCGACCGGCCACACUGGGACUGAGACACGGCCCAGACUCCUACGGGAGGCAGCAGUGGGGAAUCUUGCGCAAUGGGCGAAAGCCCUGACGCAGCGACGCCGCGUGAGGGAUGACGGCCU
RNAcentral lists this ribosomal RNA (392 nucleotides) under uncultured bacterium. RNAcentral's name for it is "bacterial SSU rRNA". It matches the Rfam family "Bacterial small subunit ribosomal RNA", at positions 36 to 417 of the family's 1533-position model. The record is from RNAcentral.